GACGAACGCUGGCGGCGUGCUUAACACAUGCAAGUCGAACGGAAAGGCCCUGCUUUUGUGGGGUGCUCGAGUGGCGAACGGGUGAGUAACACGUGAGUAACCUGCCCUUGACUUUGGGAUAACUUCAGGAAACUGGGGCUAAUACCGGAUAGGAGCUCCUGCUGCAUGGUGGGGGAUGGAAAGUGUCGGCGGUUGGGGAUAGACUCGCGGCUUAUCAGCUUGUUGGGGGGGUAGUGGCUUACCAAGGCUUUGACGGGUAGCCGGCCUGAGAGGGUGACCGGCCACAUUGGGACUGCGGUACGGCCCAGUCUCCUACGGGCGGCAGCAGUGGAAAGUAUUGCACAAUGGGCGGAAGCCUGAUGCGGCAGCGCCGCGUGCGGGAUGCCGGCCUUCGGGUUGUGAACCGCUUUCGCCUGUGCCGAAGCGUGAGUGACGGUAAUGGGUAAGGAAGCACCGGCUAACUACGUG
RNAcentral lists this ribosomal RNA (468 nucleotides) under uncultured bacterium. Its description in RNAcentral is "partial 16S ribosomal RNA". It matches the Rfam family "Bacterial small subunit ribosomal RNA", at positions 28 to 507 of the family's 1533-position model. The record is from RNAcentral.